AAAAGCUUGCUUUUUUGCUGACGAGUGACGCACGGGUGCGUAACGCGUAUACAAUCUACCUCUUACAGGGGGAUAGCCUUUGGAAACGAAGAUUAAUACCCCAUAGUAUUUACAAUUCGCAUGUUUUGUAAAUUAAAGUUUCGGCGGUAGGAGAUGAGUAUGCGUUCUAUUAGCUAGUAGGUGUGGUAACGGCACACCUAGGCAACGAUAGAUAGGGGCCCUGAGAGGGGGAUCCCCCACACUGGUACUGAGACACGGACCAGACUCCUACGGGAGGCGGCAGUGAGGAAUAUUGGACAAUGGGCGGAAGCCUGAUCCAGCCAUGCCGCGUGCAGGAAGACUGCCCUAUGGGUUGUAAACUGCUUUUGUACGGGAAGAAACCCAUCUACGUGUAGAUGGCUGACGGUACCGUAAGAAUAAGCAUCGGCUAACUCCGUGCCAGCAGCCGCGGUAAUACGGAGGAUGCAAGCGUUAUCCGGAAUCAUUGGGUUUAAAGGGUCCGUAGGUGGAUUGGUCAGUCAGAGGUGAAAUCCUGCAGCUCAACUGUAGAACUGCCUUUGAUACUGCCAGUCUUGAAUUAUUGUGAAGUGGUUAGAAUAUGUAGUGUAGCGGUGAAAUGCAUAGAUAUUACAUAGAAUACCGAUUGCGAAGGCAGAUCACUAACAAUAUAUUGACACUGAUGGACGAAAGCGUGGGGAGCGAACGGGAUUAGAUACCCCGGUAGUCCACGCCGUAAACGAUGGUCACUAGCUGUUCGGACUUCGGUCUGAGUGGCUAAGCGAAAGUGAUAAGUGACCCACCUGGGGAGUACGUUCGCAAGAAUGAA
This 826-nucleotide ribosomal RNA is filed under the name uncultured bacterium. RNAcentral describes it as "bacterial SSU rRNA". It matches the Rfam family "Bacterial small subunit ribosomal RNA", at positions 74 to 898 of the family's 1533-position model. The record is from RNAcentral.